RNAcentral lists this ribosomal RNA (253 nucleotides) under uncultured bacterium. Its description in RNAcentral is "partial 16S ribosomal RNA". It matches the Rfam family "Bacterial small subunit ribosomal RNA", at positions 524 to 776 of the family's 1533-position model. The record is from RNAcentral.
UACGAAGGGGGCUAGCGUUGUUCGGAAUCACUGGGCGUAAAGGGCGCGUAGGCGGCUUGGUAAGUCGGGGGUGAAAGCCUGUGGCUCAACCACAGAAUUGCCUUCGAUACUGUCGAGCUUGAGACCGGAAGAGGUAAGUGGAACUGCGAGUGUAGAGGUGAAAUUCGUAGAUAUUCGCAAGAACACCAGUGGCGAAGGCGGCUUACUGGUCCGGUUCUGACGCUGAGGCGCGAAAGCGUGGGGAGCAAACAGG